This 852-nucleotide ribosomal RNA is filed under the name Triticum aestivum (bread wheat). RNAcentral's name for it is "partial small subunit ribosomal RNA". The record is from RNAcentral. Lineage: Eukaryota; Viridiplantae; Streptophyta; Magnoliopsida; Poales; Poaceae.
AUGUACGAGCAAGACAAGCAGGUGAUUCGAAUAAUAACCGACAUUCUACGUGAUAACCCAUACUCUCAACAGUUCAGGAGUUUGGGACAAGCCCAGAACCUUGAGGACUACAGACUCAUAUUGAACCUUGACCAAAGAUUGGACCAGAGAACUUACAAUGCACCAAUCAAUUCAGAGGUAGCUGCAGUGUGGAUUGAACGAAAUGAAAGAAGAGAUACUUAUGACAAGAAUGUAAUACUACAUGGGAACAACAACAAAAUAGAGCACAUUCGAUCAUAUUAUGGGUGUUAUGAUCCAUUGUCGUACCCUCUAUUCUUUCCAAGAGUUGAACUGGGUUGGCAUAGGAAAAUCCCAAAGAAGGAUACACGAGAGGAAGCUAUUGAUGCUGAUGAUGUCCAUGAUGAUGAUGAACCAGGACUUUUCCAGCAGUUUGCUGUAGAUACAUACGUCAAGAUUGAAAGCUCUAGACUAGAUUACAUCUGGCAUCAUCAAAAGGAAAUAAGGGCAGAUCUAUACCAAGGCCUUCUAGACAGCAUUCAAGCUGGAGAAGAAAAGGGAAACGCAGUCGGAAAACAGAGAGUACUUGCAUCAUCAUUUAUUGGAGGACCACGCGAUAAACUUCGCCGGUAUCUAGAUGCUAUGGCUUUGGUUAGAAAAUAUGGAAAGCCAGACAUAUUCCUCACAAUGACCUGCAACCCCAAUUGGGACGAGAUCACACGUGAACUACAAUCCGGGCAAACACCACAAGAUCGCCCAGAUAUUGUAGUUCAUGUUUUUAGGGCGAAGCAAGAAGAAAUGAAGAAGCAACUAUUUCAGAAGGCCAUUCUCGGAAAGGUUAUACAUAUGUUGUAG